This 720-nucleotide ribosomal RNA is filed under the name uncultured Planctomycetota bacterium. RNAcentral's name for it is "bacterial SSU rRNA". It matches the Rfam family "Bacterial small subunit ribosomal RNA", at positions 565 to 1274 of the family's 1533-position model. Lineage: Bacteria; Pseudomonadati; Planctomycetota. The record is from RNAcentral.
GAGCACGUAGGUGGGUUUGUAAGUCAGACGUGAGAGCCUUCUGUUCAACGGAAGAAUUGCAUCUGAAACUACAAACCUUGAGUGUAGGAGGGGAGAAUGGAACUUCUGGUGGAGCGGUGAAAUGCGUAGAUAUCAGAAGGAACGCCGGCGGCGAAAGCGGUUCUCUGGCCUAUUACUGACACUCAGUGUGCGAAAGCUAGGGGAGCAAACGGGAUUAGAUACCCCGGUAGUCCUAGCCGUAAACGAUGGGCACUAAGUAGAGGGAAUUACCGAUGUUCUCUCUGCCGUAGCUAACGCAUUAAGUGCCCCGCCUGGGGAGUACGGCCGCAAGGCUAAAACUCAAAAGAAUUGACGGAGGCUCGCACAAGCGGUGGAGCAUGUGGCUUAAUUCGAUGCAACGCGAAAAACCUUACCGGGGCUUGACAUGGUAGAAGUAGGAACCCGAAAGGGUAACGAACGGUAUCCAGUCCGUGACUAUCACAGGUGUUGCAUGGCUGUCGUCAGCUCGUGUCGUGAGACGUUGGGUUAAGUCCCCUAACGAGCGAAACCCUUGUUUUUAGUUGCCAGCGGGUUGUGCCGGGCACUCUAGAAAGACUGCCGUCGUCAAGACGGAGGAAGGUGGGGAUGACGUCAAGUCAUCAUGGCCCUUAUGCCCCGGGCUGCACACGUGCUACAAUGGCCGGUACAAACGGAAGCGAAGCCGAGAGGUGAAGCGAAUCC